Molecule: ribosomal RNA, 473 nt
Filed under: uncultured Pelotomaculum sp.
Lineage: Bacteria; Bacillati; Bacillota; Clostridia; Eubacteriales; Desulfotomaculaceae
Description: bacterial SSU rRNA
Rfam family: Bacterial small subunit ribosomal RNA
Source: RNAcentral
UUGACGGGGCCGCACAAGCGGUGGAGCAUGUGGUUAAUUCGACGCAACGCGAAGAACCUUACCAGGGCUUGACAUCCCCUGACCGCGUAUGAAAGUACGUUUUCACCCUCGGGUGACAGGGAGACAGGUGGUGCAUGGUUGUCGUCAGCUCGUGUCGUGAGAUGUUGGGUUAAGUCCCGCAACGAGCGCAACCCCUACGUUUAGUUGCUAACAGGUGAAGCUGAGCACUCUAGACGAACUGCCGUUGACAAAACGGAGGAAGGUGAGGAUGACGUCAAAUCAUCAUGCCCCUUAUGUUCUGGGCUACACACGUGCUACAAUGGCCGGUACAGACGGAGGCGAAGCCGCGAGGCGGAGCAAAUCCGAAAAAGCCGGUCUCAGUUCGGAUUGCAGGCUGCAAUUCGCCUGCAUGAAGUCGGAAUCGCUAGUAAUCGCAGGUCAGCAUACUGCGGUCGAAUACGUUCCCGGGCCUU